CAUACUGUUUGGCAAACCUGCUGAAAGGCCGGGACGCAAAACUAUGGGUCUAAGAACACCUAGCGUGUUUACGAUUGCCAGGUCGCCUUC
Molecule: non-coding RNA, 90 nt
Filed under: Sporomusa malonica
Lineage: Bacteria; Bacillati; Bacillota; Negativicutes; Selenomonadales; Sporomusaceae
Description: c-di-GMP sequence
Rfam family: c-di-GMP-I riboswitch aptamer
About the family: GEMM was predicted in a large-scale screen for bacterial structured RNA regulatory elements. Genes associated with GEMM are involved in a diverse array of functions, including chemotaxis regulation, signal transduction, secretion and chitin.
Source: Rfam by way of RNAcentral